AAUCAAUCGUCGUUAUGAUUUCUUUUCAGGAGUGAUAUCGGUUGUUUGCGGUAUAUGUUUUGACCACAGAAAUAGCAAAACCAUUAUUACAUUGCUGUAGUUGGGUGAUUAUACUGGGAUUCUCAAAUCACGGCUGCCAUAAAACCGACCUUCUGGAGACCAGGAAGAAGCAGAAUCAGUGUUGCCAACAUUCGUGCGAUCAGGUAGUGCCAACCUGCGACCUUCACAUCCGCUUUCUCCGCCGUCUCACUCCGAGACAUGACGCUGUUCGACAACCUCCUCAGGAGGAUCACGGAGUUCCUGGUAGUUCUUCAGAUGUUCUUGAUGGCCUCGUGUUGGCCCACGCCAUUGGACGAGUACGACCACGACGAGGACGAAGAGGAAGUCGAGGAACCCCAAGUGCCAGACGUUAGGAGAAGAAACCAGCUGGGAACUGUGAAUGGAUAGGACAGAAGUUACCUGACCAAGGGGAUCCUGAAUUAACUACAUACUGACAUCGGAACCUUUCCUUUAUAAUAAACUGCAGAACACUGACUAUUGGCAAGUAGAGUCAAGUGUGUGGUUAUAAUACCUGGUAAGCGUUAAACACAGUUAAAGGUAACUCGAAAAUGAUGAAUUUUGAAUGAACUUGAUCAAAACAGCUGUUUUAUGAAUGAUACAACAUUGUUAUUUCCUAAAUAUAAAUACGAGGUUGAUAACAUACUUUCCUUAUUUGUUAAAAUAGCAAAUAUUUUAUUUUUGUUUCUUUACCAAAAUAAUAAGGAAAGUAGUGUAAUUUUACGUUUGAUGUAAUGUUGUUUUAUUGUUAAAAUAAAUAUUUUAUUGUUUAUAACCAUCUCCUUAUUUACCUUAACGAAGUGCACCAUUGAUGUAAAUAUUUUGUAUAACGUAACGCACAAAAAAGAUUUGGUCAAUAAAAUCAAAAUGCGCUAAGGCAUUUUUUAAACAGUCUUCUAUACGCUCCUUGUAAUAAUGUAAAAUACA
This is a long non-coding RNA of Macrosteles quadrilineatus (aster leafhopper), 984 nucleotides long. RefSeq lists it as uncharacterized. The transcript has 3 exons. The record is from RefSeq and is a predicted model, not a curated record. NCBI's taxonomy places the organism in Eukaryota, Metazoa, Arthropoda, Insecta, Hemiptera, Cicadellidae.